UCAAGCUACCAAUCCUUGUAA
Molecule: non-coding RNA, 21 nt
Filed under: Caenorhabditis elegans
Lineage: Eukaryota; Metazoa; Nematoda; Chromadorea; Rhabditida; Rhabditidae
Source: RNAcentral